RNAcentral lists this ribosomal RNA (500 nucleotides) under uncultured archaeon. Its description in RNAcentral is "bacterial SSU rRNA". It matches the Rfam family "Archaeal small subunit ribosomal RNA", at positions 345 to 850 of the family's 1478-position model. The record is from RNAcentral.
AACCUCUACAAUGCGCGAAAGCGUGAUAGGGGGACUCCCAAGUGACCACGUUAGUGGUCUUUUCUCUACUCCAAAAAGGUAGGGGAAUAAGGGCUGGGUAAGACCCGUGCCAGCCGCCGCGGUAAUACGGGCAGCUCUAGUGGCAUUCGCGAAUAUUGGGCCUAAAGCGUACGUAGCCGGUCCUAUAAGUCCUUGGUGAAAUCUUGCAGCUUAACUGUGAGAAGUGCCAGGGAGACUGUAGGACUUGGAGCCGGGAAGGGUCGGAGGUAUUCCUUGGGUAGGGGUGAAAUCCAGUGAUCCUUGGAAGACCGACGGUGGCGAAGGCGUCCGACUAGAACGGGCUCGACGGUGAGGUACGAAAGCUAGGGGAGCGACCCGGAUUAGAUACCCGGUUAGUCCUAGCCGUAAAUGAUGCAGGUUUGGUGUGACACUCCUUACGAGGGAUUGUCGUGCCGUAGGGAAGCCGUUAAACCUGCCGCCUGGGAGUACGUCGCAAGACU